Molecule: long non-coding RNA, 458 nt
Filed under: Physcomitrium patens
Lineage: Eukaryota; Viridiplantae; Streptophyta; Bryopsida; Funariales; Funariaceae
Description: long non-coding RNA (PPAT_LNC001196)
Source: RNAcentral
GUUAGAAGUGUUUUGUGAAAGAAGAGAGGUGAUUAAAGAGAGGCAAAGCUUAUUCAAGAGGUUGUGAGACUUAUGAAAAGUCUUAUAAGUAAAGUUGAGAGUGAUUGAAGAGUGUAAACAUUAAAAGGGCAUUCUAGGUUUCUAAGGCAGUAACAUCUUCUUCUUGAUUUUUAGAGUUCAUUCUUCUCUUUUCUUGAUUUUCUUUGAUACACCUUUUUUUUAGACAUGGCUGUAAAUGAAGGUGAAGGUUUGAGAGUAAUUGAGAAGUUUAGGAAUGAUAAUUUCUACCAUUGGAAGAAAAAAAUAGAGCUCUUGUUGGCUUCAUUUGAUCUUUGGGACAUUGUUGAUGAAAGUGAAGACCCUCCAAGUGAUGAUGCUUAUGUGAAGGUGAAGGAAGAGUACAAAUGACGUGAAAGGAAGGCUUUUGGCAUGAUUGCAACAAAUCUUGAUGAUGCCAA